RNAcentral lists this ribosomal RNA (2828 nucleotides) under Priestia megaterium. RNAcentral's name for it is "bacterial LSU rRNA". It matches the Rfam family "Bacterial large subunit ribosomal RNA". Lineage: Bacteria; Bacillati; Bacillota; Bacilli; Caryophanales; Bacillaceae. The record is from RNAcentral.
AGGGCGCACGGUGAAUGCCUUGGCACUAGGAGCCGAUGAAGGACGGGACUAACACCGAUAUGCUUCGGGGAGCUGUAAGUGAGCUUUGAUCCGGAGAUUUCCGAAUGGGGAAACCCACUGUUCGUAAUGGAACAGUAUCUUUAUCUGAAUACAUAGGAUAUUGAAGGCAGACCCGGGGAACUGAAACAUCUAAGUACCCGGAGGAAGAGAAAGCAAAUGCGAUUUCCUGAGUAGCGGCGAGCGAAACGGAAUUAGCCCAAACCAAGAGGCUUGCCUCUUGGGGUUGUAGGACACUCUAUACGGAGUUACAAAGGAACGAAGUAAAUGAAGCGACCUGGAAAGGUCCGUCGAAGAAGGUAACAACCCUGUAGUUGAAACUUCGUUCCCUCUUGAGUGGAUCCUGAGUACGGCGGAACACGUGAAAUUCCGUCGGAAGCUGGGAGGACCAUCUCCCAAGGCUAAAUACUACCUAGUGACCGAUAGUGAACCAGUACCGUGAGGGAAAGGUGAAAAGCACCCCGGAAGGGGAGUGAAAGAGAUCCUGAAACCGUGUGCCUACAAGUAGUCAGAGCCCGUUAACGGGUGAUGGCGUGCCUUUUGUAGAAUGAACCGGCGAGUUACGAUCCCAUGCAAGGUUAAGCUGAUAAGGCGGAGCCGUAGCGAAAGCGAGUCUGAAUAGGGCGUUUAGUAUGUGGUUGUAGACCCGAAACCAGGUGAUCUACCCAUGUCCAGGGUGAAGUUCAGGUAACACUGAAUGGAGGCCCGAACCCACGCACGUUGAAAAGUGCGGGGAUGAGGUGUGGGUAGCGGAGAAAUUCCAAUCGAACCUGGAGAUAGCUGGUUCUCUCCGAAAUAGCUUUAGGGCUAGCCUCAUGUUGUGAGAGUCUUGGAGGUAGAGCACUGAUUGGACUAGGGGCCCCCAACGGGUUACCGAAUUCAGUCAAACUCCGAAUGCCAAAGACUUAUCCAUGGGAGUCAGACUGCGAGUGAUAAGAUCCGUAGUCAAAAGGGAAACAGCCCAGACCACCAGCUAAGGUCCCCAAGUAUACGUUAAGUGGAAAAGGAUGUGGAGUUGCUUAGACAACCAGGAUGUUGGCUUAGAAGCAGCCACCAUUUAAAGAGUGCGUAAUAGCUCACUGGUCGAGUGACUCUGCGCCGAAAAUGUACCGGGGCUAAACGUAUCACCGAAGCUGUGGAUUGACAUCUUUGAUGUCAGUGGUAGGAGAGCGUUCUAAGUGCUGUGAAGUCAGACCGUAAGGACUGGUGGAGCGCUUAGAAGUGAGAAUGCCGGUAUGAGUAGCGAAAGACAAGUGAGAAUCUUGUCCACCGAAUGCCUAAGGUUUCCUGAGGAAGGCUCGUCCGCUCAGGGUUAGUCGGGACCUAAGCCGAGGCUGAAAAGCGUAGGCGAUGGCCAACAGGUUGAUAUUCCUGUACCACCUCCCCGCCGUUUGAGUAAUGGGGGGACGCAGUAGGAUAGGGUAAGCGCGCUGCUGGAUAUGCGCGUUCAAGCAGUUAGGCUGAUGAGUAGGCAAAUCCGCUCAUCAUAAAGGCUGAGCUGUGAUGACGAGGGAAUUAUAGUACCGAAGUUCCUGAUUCCACACUGCCAAGAAAAGCCUCUAGCGAGGCGGGAGGUGCCCGUACCGCAAACCGACACAGGUAGGCGAGGAGAGAAUCCUAAGGUGAUCGAGAGAACUCUCGUUAAGGAACUCGGCAAAAUGACCCCGUAACUUCGGGAGAAGGGGUGCUCUGGUAGGGUGUAUAGCCCGAGAGAGCCGCAGUGAAUAGGCCCAGGCGACUGUUUAGCAAAAACACAGGUCUCUGCGAAGCCGCAAGGCGAAGUAUAGGGGCUGACGCCUGCCCGGUGCUGGAAGGUUAAGAGGAGGGGUUAUCCUUUGGGAGAAGCUCUGAAUCGAAGCCCCAGUAAACGGCGGCCGUAACUAUAACGGUCCUAAGGUAGCGAAAUUCCUUGUCGGGUAAGUUCCGACCCGCACGAAAGGCGUAACGAUCUGGGCACUGUCUCAACGAGAGACUCGGUGAAAUUAUAGUACCUGUGAAGAUGCAGGUUACCCGCGACAGGACGGAAAGACCCCGUGGAGCUUUACUGUAGCCUGAUAUUGAAUUUUGGUACAGCUUGUACAGGAUAGGUAGGAGCCUGAGAAGCCGGAGCGCUAGCUUCGGUGGAGGCGUCGGUGGGAUACUACCCUGGCUGUAUUGAAAUUCUAACCCGCGGCCCUGAUCGGGCCGGGAGACAGUGUCAGGUGGGCAGUUUGACUGGGGCGGUCGCCUCCUAAAAUGUAACGGAGGCGCCCAAAGGUUCCCUCAGAAUGGUUGGAAAUCAUUCGUAGAGUGUAAAGGCACAAGGGAGCUUGACUGCGAGACCUACAAGUCGAGCAGGGACGAAAGUCGGGCUUAGUGAUCCGGUGGUUCCGCAUGGAAGGGCCAUCGCUCAACGGAUAAAAGCUACCCCGGGGAUAACAGGCUUAUCUCCCCCAAGAGUCCACAUCGACGGGGAGGUUUGGCACCUCGAUGUCGGCUCAUCGCAUCCUGGGGCUGUAGUCGGUCCCAAGGGUUGGGCUGUUCGCCCAUUAAAGCGGUACGCGAGCUGGGUUCAGAACGUCGUGAGACAGUUCGGUCCCUAUCCGUCGUGGGCGUAGGAAAUUUGAGAGGAGCUGUCCUUAGUACGAGAGGACCGGGAUGGACACACCGCUGGUGUACCAGUUGUCUUGCCAAAGGCAUCGCUGGGUAGCUAUGUGUGGACGGGAUAAGUGCUGAAAGCAUCUAAGCAUGAAGCCCCCCUCAAGAUGAGAUUUCCCAUAGCGCAAGCUAGU